Molecule: non-coding RNA, 163 nt
Filed under: human gut metagenome
Also listed under: 1 other name
Description: Lysine riboswitch
Rfam family: Lysine riboswitch aptamer
About the family: Riboswitches are metabolite binding domains within certain messenger RNAs that serve as precision sensors for their corresponding targets. Allosteric rearrangement of mRNA structure is mediated by ligand binding, and this results in modulation of gene expression.
Source: RNAcentral
UAGAUAGAGGCGCGGUAUUCAUCAGUACCCUCCGGCAAGGCCAGCCAGCCGCCGGGGCGCGAAAGGGGCUACCGCCGAAGCGUUGAAAAACGGCUGGUUUUUCGGCGCUGGGUCGGCAGAGAACAUCUGCCGGACUGUCACAAGCUUUUGUGAAGCGCUAUCA